Molecule: long non-coding RNA, 622 nt
Organism: Heterocephalus glaber (naked mole-rat)
Lineage: Eukaryota; Metazoa; Chordata; Mammalia; Rodentia; Bathyergidae
Source: RefSeq, a predicted model, not a curated record
CGCGAGUGCGGGCACCAGUAGGAAGACCAGGCCGUAGGGCAGGUUCCAGGCCGCGCUGCAGGGGCACUGAAAGACCACCGCCGAGAAGAUCUUCUCCCCUCCCGCCGUCAGCAGAGUCACCAAGCCAUAGCCCAGCGCGCUGCGGUGCUUGAGAUUUGGAGAAAAGAAUUUAGAAGAGAAAGUAAUGUGCUCAAAAGCUGCUGAGUACAUUAAUUGGUGAAGCCAAGAAUGGAAUCCAGAACAGUCUUCAUCUAGAAUUGCUUUUACUUCUUACUGAUUUUUCUCUGUAAUAGGGUAUUCACUGCAAAUAAAUCACAGAGAUGAACUACAAACUGCUCGUUAUAUUAUCCCAAGACGAAAUCACUGUCUGCACCCCAUCAAGAACCUGUUUUCCUUUUGCCUUUUGAACUGCAGAAGCAUCAGCAGCAUUCAGCCCAUCUGAUGCCCCCUGCCCUGGGGACUGCUGCAAGAUAUUUCUUUUUAGCUUCAGUUCCACAAGGGAAUCUGAGCAAACCCAAACAGCUGCUAUGCUGUACUGGCCCCCUCAAUGUACCCUCUGAUCUUUCUAACUGUUACUCACCUACUGUGGCAGAACUGCUCUAAUAAAUCUACCUCCUCUUUA